ACGAAAAAAAAAAAAAUUGAUAAAUGACAAGCUGGGCAGAUGAUAACAGAAGGUAAAAUAAAGGAGGUCCACGAUUUUGAUAUGAAGUUUAUGCGUGCAAGAACAAUGAAUAAAAACAAAUUAAAA
Long non-coding RNA from Populus euphratica (Euphrates poplar), 126 nucleotides. RefSeq lists it as uncharacterized. Lineage: Eukaryota; Viridiplantae; Streptophyta; Magnoliopsida; Malpighiales; Salicaceae. The transcript has 2 exons. The record is from RefSeq and is a predicted model, not a curated record.